RNAcentral lists this ribosomal RNA (586 nucleotides) under uncultured bacterium. RNAcentral describes it as "bacterial SSU rRNA". It matches the Rfam family "Bacterial small subunit ribosomal RNA", at positions 250 to 855 of the family's 1533-position model. The record is from RNAcentral.
UGGUAAGGUAACGGCUUACCAAGGCGACGAUCAGUAGCCGACCUGAGAGGGUGAUCGGCCACAUUGGAACUGAGACACGGUCCAAACUCCUACGGGAGGCAGCAGUGGGGAAUAUUGCACAAUGGGCGAAAGCCUGAUGCAGCAACGCCGCGUGAGCGAUGAAGGCCUUCGGGUCGUAAAGCUCUGUCCUCAAGGAAGAUAAUGACGGUACUUGAGGAGGAAGCCCCGGCUAACUACGUGCCAGCAGCCGCGGUAAUACGUAGGGGGCUAGCGUUAUCCGGAAUUACUGGGCGUAAAGGGUGCGUAGGUGGUUUCUUAAGUCAGAGGUGAAAGGCUACGGCUCAACCGUAGUAAGCCUUUGAAACUGGGAAACUUGAGUGCAGGAGAGGAGAGUGGAAUUCCUAGUGUAGCGGUGAAAUGCGUAGAUAUUAGGAGGAACACCAGUUGCGAAGGCGGCUCUCUGGACUGUGACUGACACUGAGGCACGAAAGCGUGGGGAGCAAACAGGAUUAGAUACCCUGGUAGUCCACGCCGUAAACGAUGAGUACUAGCUGUCGGAGGUUACCCCCUUCGGUGGCGCAGCUAA